Molecule: long non-coding RNA, 736 nt
Organism: Perca flavescens (yellow perch)
Lineage: Eukaryota; Metazoa; Chordata; Actinopteri; Perciformes; Percidae
Exons: 4
Source: RefSeq, a predicted model, not a curated record
GGACGAGAGCAGGCUGGAGUCAUGGAUCAGGGAGAUGGAAGAAGAUUUGACAACCAUUCAUGGUCACUGUGACAGCCCUUUCAAUUCUUCAGGAAAUGGACCAGAGCUCUUCUGACUCUACAGUGAUCCUUGAACUAAGUUCCGUCCCUGAAAAGGAGGACAUAAGUGUUCCUGAACUCAAGCGAGCAGAAAGUGUAUUUGUUCAUCAAAAAUGGCGAGAAAGAAGUGGAGCACAGAGGAGGUCCAGGCUGUGGAGAGCAAUCUCAUGGACAACAUCAACUCUGGCAGGGUUCCUGGCAAAGCCCAGUGUGAAGCAUCUAUCAAGGGAUCCUCAGAGGUGCUUAGGGGAAGGAGCUGGAAGGCAGUUAAGUUCUAUGUGAAGAACCGCAUUGACACUUUAAAGCGUCUAGAAAAUAACUAAUGGAAAUCUAAAUUGUAAUCACUGAACAUAAUUCCUUUUUGCCAUCUAAGUUCUUCUACAAUCCCACAACUAGGUACAGCGCUAACUUCAAUUCAGCUCAUAUCUGAGCAUGCAAAGACAUUUUAUUAAGAUUGUUAUAGCUCUUUUGUUUUCAAAUUUAAUAUGUCAACAUGCUCUGACUAUUAUUUCAUUGAGUGAUGUAAUUUAAAUUUUUAUCCUAAAGAACAUUGUGGUAGUGGGUCAUGGGUGGUUCGAGAAAUGGAGUUAGAGAGAGACACAGGUUGUAGAGAGAGUGAAAGGUUUUUAGAGAGAGAC